GACGGAGGAUGCAAGCGUUAUCCGGAAUUAUUGGGCGUAAAGCGUCCGUAGGCGGUUUCAAAAGUCUGUUGUUAAAGCCCACAGCUCAACUGUGGAUCGGCAAUGGAAACUGUGAGACUAGAGAGUGGUAGGGGUAGAGGGAAUUCCUAGUGUAGCGGUGAAAUGCGUAGAUAUUAGGAAGAACACCAGCGGCGAAAGCGCGUGACUGGGCCAGUACUGACACUCAUGGACGAAAGCUAGGGGAGCGAAAGGG
This 253-nucleotide ribosomal RNA is filed under the name uncultured bacterium. RNAcentral's name for it is "partial 16S ribosomal RNA". It matches the Rfam family "Bacterial small subunit ribosomal RNA", at positions 524 to 776 of the family's 1533-position model. The record is from RNAcentral.